UUGAUCAUGGCUCAGAUUGAACGCUGGCGGCAGGCCUAACACAUGCAAGUCGAGCGGCAGCACAGAGAAACUUGUUUCUCGGGUGGCGAGCGGCGGACGGGUGAGUAAUGCCUGGGAAAUUGCCCUGAUGUGGGGGAUAACCAUUGGAAACGAUGGCUAAUACCGCAUGAUGCCUACGGGCCAAAGAGGGGGACCUUCGGGCCUCUCGCGUCAGGAUAUGCCCAGGUGGGAUUAGCUAGUUGGUGAGGUAAGGGCUCACCAAGGCGACGAUCCCUAGCUGGUCUGAGAGGAUGAUCAGCCACACUGGAACUGAGACACGGUCCAGACUCCUACGGGAGGCAGCAGUGGGGAAUAUUGCACAAUGGGCGCAAGCCUGAUGCAGCCAUGCCGCGUGUGUGAAGAAGGCCUUCGGGUUGUAAAGCACUUUCAGUUGUGAGGAAGGUGGUGUCGUUAAUAGCGGCAUCAUUUGACGUUAGCAACAGAAGAAGCACCGGCUAACUCCGUGCCAGCAGCCGCGGUAAUACGGAGGGUGCGAGCGUUAAUCGGAAUUACUGGGCGUAAAGCGCAUGCAGGUGGUUUGUUAAGUCAGAUGUGAAAGCCCGGGGCUCAACCUCGG
RNAcentral lists this ribosomal RNA (616 nucleotides) under Vibrio vulnificus. Its description in RNAcentral is "bacterial SSU rRNA". It matches the Rfam family "Bacterial small subunit ribosomal RNA", at positions 13 to 618 of the family's 1533-position model. Lineage: Bacteria; Pseudomonadati; Pseudomonadota; Gammaproteobacteria; Vibrionales; Vibrionaceae. The record is from RNAcentral.